UGGGUGCGAGAGCGUCAGUU
The sequence is a regulatory RNA element, 20 nucleotides long. It matches the Rfam family "HIV-1 stem-loop 4 packaging signal". The record is from Rfam.